Molecule: ribosomal RNA, 380 nt
Filed under: uncultured eukaryote
Lineage: Eukaryota
Description: partial 18S ribosomal RNA
Rfam family: Eukaryotic small subunit ribosomal RNA
Source: RNAcentral
CAAUAGCGUAUAUUAAAGUUGUUGCAGUUAAAAAGCUCGUAGUUGGAUUUGUGGCUGUCACGGGCGGCCUAUCACUUAGUGUUAGUGCUUGCCUGUGUCGCCAUCCUUGGGUGGAGCCCGUGUGGCAUUAGGUUGUCGUGCGGGGGAUGCUCAUCGUUUACUGUGAGAAAAUUAGAGUGUUCAAAGCAGGCUUAUGCCGUUGAAUAUGUUAGCAUGGAAUAAUAAGAUAGGACCUCGGUACUAUUUUGUUGGUUUGCGCACCGAGGUAAUGAUUAAUAGGGACAGUUGGGGGUAUUCGUAUUUCAUUGUCAGAGGUGAAAUUCUUGGAUUUCUGAAAGACGAACUACUGCGAAAGCAUUUACCAAGGAUGUUUUCAUUAA